Molecule: unclassified non-coding RNA, 240 nt
Filed under: soil metagenome
Description: partial contains 5.8S ribosomal RNA, internal transcribed spacer 2, and large subunit ribosomal RNA
Source: RNAcentral
AACCUAGCACACCUGCGGUGUGUACCUGCGGAAGGAUCAUUAAUGAGAAACUGCCCCUCGCGGGUAGAUCUCCCACCCUUUGUAAACUUACCUUUGUUGCUUUGGCAGGCCCGUCUCCGGACCGCCGGCUUCGGCUGGCCAGUGCCUGCCAGAGGAUUCUAAAACUCUGUCUGUCAGUGUUGUCUGAGUCUAUAUACAAUCGUUAAAACUUUUAACAAUGGAUCUCAGAUCGGAAGAGCA